AACGAACGCUGGCGGCAUGCCUAACACAUGCAAGUCGAACGAGACCUUCGGGUCUAGUGGCGCACGGGUGUGUAACGCGUGGGAAUCUGCCCUUGGGUUCGGCAUAACAGUUGGAAACGACUGCCAAUACCGGAUGAUGACGUAAGUCCAAAGAUUUAUCGCACCGGGAUGAGCCCGCGUAGGAUUAGCUAGUUGGUGGGGUAAAGGCCUACCAAGGCGACGAUCCUUAGCUGGUCUGAGAGGAUGAUCAGCCACACUGGGACUGGGACACGGCCCAGACUCCUACGGGAGGGAGCAGUGGGGAAUAUUGGACAAUGGGCGAAAGCAUGAUCCAGCAAUGCCGCGUGAGUGAUGAAGGCAGUAGGGUUGUAAAGCUCUUUUACCCGGGAUGAUAAUGACAGUACCGGGAGAAUAAGCCCCGGCUAACUCCGUG
Molecule: ribosomal RNA, 433 nt
Filed under: uncultured bacterium
Lineage: Bacteria
Description: partial 16S ribosomal RNA
Rfam family: Bacterial small subunit ribosomal RNA
Source: RNAcentral